This 361-nucleotide ribosomal RNA is filed under the name uncultured bacterium. Its description in RNAcentral is "partial 16S ribosomal RNA". It matches the Rfam family "Bacterial small subunit ribosomal RNA", at positions 338 to 692 of the family's 1533-position model. The record is from RNAcentral.
CCUACGGGUGGCAGCAGUAGGGAAUUUUCGUCAAUGGGCGCAAGCCUGAACGAGCAAUGCCGCGUGAACGAGGACGGUCUUCGGAUCGUUAAGUUCUGUUGAAGGGGAAAAAGAGCGGAGAGAGGAAAUGCUUUCUGAUUGAUAUUACGCUUCGAGGUAGUCACGGCGAACUACGUGCCAGCAGCCGCGGUAAUACGUAGGUGGCGUGCGUUAUCCGGUAUGAUUGGGGGUAAAGGGUGCGUAGGCGGCCUGGUAAGUCUGGAGUGAAAGGUACCGGCACAACCGGUACAGGGUCUGGAAACUGGCUGGCUAGGGGGCAGGGGAGGGCGGGGGAACUCCAUGUGUAGCGGUAAAAUGCGAA